AGUAAAAUGGUGGGGAUGUGGGAGUAAGUCUCACUACUGUAAACCAAAAGUAGCGUUAUUUAACCUGACAAACGUUCAAAGUGCAAAGCGUAAUGACGGACUCAACUAUUUUGUCGGACUAGUCGGUAAUGAAACGUGCAACCGCAACAAUUCCAAGAAUAGAGGGACAAUGUUUACAUGUUACAGUCACUCAGAUUCACAAGUAAACAACAGCUAAAGAAAUAUAUGAAUAGAAAUCAACAUAUUUCUAUGCUUUCUCAUGAAUAUGUAUUAUAAAAUGUACAAAGUGUGCUAUUCUUUUGCCGUGACCUGUAUUUGAAAACUUUGGUUCCAAUUCUUCCACACUGAAGCGUUUACCACGUGGAUUUGUUGUUGUGUACCGUUACAUAGUUACCCAUUGUAACUUGAAUUGUUGGACGAAUGUAGUCACAUACAGUCAUAUACGCGUAACAUAUUAAAAUAAGCUCUUGUAUCAAUUUUACGAAGAGAAAAUAUAAAAACCUUUGUAAAUAAUUAAUAACUUAAUGUACACGCAUUAAAAUUAACAUACAAUAAAUUAACUUUUAAUAGUUGAAAUUUGCGAUGUUUCAUAUUCUGUUAUAGUAUCUUUUUAAAAGAAGCUAAGAACGAAAAUGUACAUAAUUCAUAAUUUACGGUAAAUGUAGUAGCAAAAUUUUGAAUUCCUUCAAUAAACACUAUAAAUAAGUAAGGGA
This is a long non-coding RNA of Megalopta genalis, 713 nucleotides long. RefSeq lists it as uncharacterized. The record is from RefSeq and is a predicted model, not a curated record. NCBI's taxonomy places the organism in Eukaryota, Metazoa, Arthropoda, Insecta, Hymenoptera, Halictidae.